GAGAGAGGUCUGCUAACAACGAAAACUGCUAAUUUCCGUCACCUUGGUUGGAUCCCAAGGCUCACUCG
RNAcentral lists this transfer RNA (68 nucleotides) under Pentapodus setosus (butterfly whiptail). RNAcentral describes it as "tRNA-Ser". The record is from RNAcentral. Lineage: Eukaryota; Metazoa; Chordata; Actinopteri; Spariformes; Nemipteridae.